AACGCGAAGAACCUUACCUAGUCUUGACAUGUAGGGGACCGCUGCAGAAAUGCAGCUUUCCGUAAGGACCGCUACACAGGUGCUGCAUGGCUGUCGUCAGCUCGUGCCGUGAGGUGUUCGGUUAAGUCCGGUAACGAGCGCAACCCUUAUCAUUAGUUGCCAACACUUCGGGUGGGAACUCUAAUGAGACUGCCUGGGUUAACCAGGAGGAAGGUGAGGAUGACGUCAAGUCAGCAUGGCCCUUAUGACUAGGGCGACACACGUGCUACAAUGGUCGGUACAGAAGGCAGCAAAGUCGUAAGAUGGAGCAAAUCCCUAAAGCCGAUCUCAGUUCAGAUUGUAGUCUGCAACUCGACUACAUGAAGUUGGAAUUGCUAGUAAUGGCGCGUCAGCCAUAGCGCCGUGAAUACGUUCCCGGGCCUUGUACACACCGGUACUA
This 439-nucleotide ribosomal RNA is filed under the name uncultured bacterium. RNAcentral's name for it is "bacterial SSU rRNA". It matches the Rfam family "Bacterial small subunit ribosomal RNA", at positions 958 to 1398 of the family's 1533-position model. The record is from RNAcentral.